Molecule: ribosomal RNA, 537 nt
Filed under: uncultured bacterium
Lineage: Bacteria
Description: bacterial SSU rRNA
Rfam family: Bacterial small subunit ribosomal RNA
Source: RNAcentral
ACGGGUGAGUAACGCGUGGGAAUCUACCGUACCCUACGGAAUAGCUCUGGGAAACUGGAAGUAAUACCGUAUACGCCCUUCGGGGGAAAGAUUUAUCGGGGUAUGAUGAGCCCGCGUUGGAUUAGCUAGUUGGUGGGGUAAAGGCCUACCAAGGCGACGAUCCAUAGCUGGUCUGAGAGGAUGAUCAGCCACAUUGGGACUGAGACACGGCCCAAACUCCUACGGGAGGCAGCAGUGGGGAAUAUUGGACAAUGGGCGCAAGCCUGAUCCAGCCAUGCCGCGUGAGUGAUGAAGGUCUUAGGAUUGUAAAGCUCUUUCACCGGAGAAGAUAAUGACGGUAUCCGGAGAAGAGGCCCCGGCUAACUUCGUGCCAGCAGCCGCGGUAAUACGAAGGGGGCUAGCGUUGUUCGGAAUUACUGGGCGUAAAGCGCACGUAGGCGGGUAUUUAAGUCAGGGGUGAAAUCCCAGAGCUCAACUCUGGAACUGCCUUUGAUACUGGGUAUCUUGAGUAUGGAAGAGGUAAGUGGAAUUGCGAGU